Molecule: ribosomal RNA, 253 nt
Filed under: uncultured bacterium
Lineage: Bacteria
Description: partial 16S ribosomal RNA
Rfam family: Bacterial small subunit ribosomal RNA
Source: RNAcentral
UACGGAGGGUGCAAGCGUUGUCCGGAUUUAUUGGGUUUAAAGGGUGCGUAGGCGGCUAUUUAAGUCAGUGGUGAAAGACUCCGGCUCAACCGGAGCAGUGCCAUUGAUACUGGAUAGCUUGAGUGUUGGAGGGGUACAUGGAAUUGAUGGUGUAGCGUUGAAAUGCAUAGAUACCAUCAGGAACACCGAUAGCGAAGGAAUUGUACUGGCCAACAACUGACGCUGAUGCACGAAAGCAUGGGUAGAAAACAGG